UGAGUGCGAGCUGCUACGGCAGCGAAGUUGGUGACGUCAAGCUUCCAAGAAAAGCCCUAUACCCGUUAAGGCAUCACGGCCUGUACCCGAAACCGACACAGGUGGGGUGGUAGAGAAUACCGAGGGGCGCGAGGUAACUCUCUCUAAGGAACUCGGCAAAAUGACCCCGUAACUUCGGGAGAAGGGGUGCCACCGCAAGGUGGUCGCAGUGAAGAGGCCCAGGCGACUGUUUACCAAAAACACAGGUCUCCGCUAAGUCGCAAGACGAUGUAUGGGGGCUGACGCCUGCCCAGUGCCGGAAGGUUAAGGAAGCUGGUCAGCGUAAGCGAAGCUAGCGACUGAAGCCCCAGUGAACGGCGGCCGUAACGAUAACGGUCCUAAGGUAGCGAAAUUCCUUGUCGGGUAAGUUCCGACCCGCACGAAAGGCGUAACGAUCUGGGCGCUGUCUCGGAGAGAGGCUCGGCGAAAUAGAAUUGUCUGUGAAGAUGCGGACUACGUGCACCCGGACAGAAAGACCCUAUGAAGCUUUACUGUAGCUUGGUAUUGUGCCCGGGCUCUGAAUGCGCAGGAUAGGUGGGAGGCUUUGAUCAACAGCUUGCGGGUUGUUGUGAGCCAACGGUGAGAUACCACUCUUUCAGAGCUAGGGUUCUAACAGUCACCCGUUAUCCGGGGACUGGACAGUAUCUGGUGGGCAGUUUGACUGGGGCGGUCGCCUCCUAAAAGGAACGGAGGCGCGCAAAGGUUUGCUCAGGCUGGUUGGAAAUCAGCCGACGAGUGUAAAAGCAGAAGCAAGCUUGACUGUGAGACCUACAAGUCGAACAGGGAGGAAACUCGGCUUUAGUGAUCCGACGGUUCUGCGUGGAAGGGCCGUCGCUCAACGGAUAAAAGUUACUCUAGGAUAACAGGCUGAUCUCCCCCAAGAGUUCACAUCGACGGGGAGGUUUGGCACCUCGAUGUCGGCUCAUCGCAACCUGGGGCUGAAGUCGGUCCCAAGGGUUGGGCUGUUCGCCCAUUAAAGCGGUACGCGAGCUGGGUUCAGAACGUCGUGAGACAGUUCGGUCCAUAUCCGGUGCAUGCGCAGGAAUAUUGAGAGGAUUUCUCCCUAGUACGAGAGGACCGGGAGGAACGCACCUCUGGUGUACCAGUUAUCGUGCCAACGGUAAACGCUGGGUAGCCAUGUGCGGAGUGGAUAACCGCUGAAAGCAUCUAAGUGGGAAGCCCACCUCAAGAUGAGUAUUCCCAUGGCGUUAGCCAGUAAGGUCACGGGAAGAACACCCGUUGAUAGGCUCUAUGUGGAAGCGCAGUAAUGUGUGAAGCAGAGGAGUACUAAUAGACCGAGGGCUUGAC
Molecule: ribosomal RNA, 1347 nt
Filed under: metagenome
Description: bacterial LSU rRNA
Rfam family: Bacterial large subunit ribosomal RNA
Source: RNAcentral